CUGCUUUAGAUUUUUCAAGAUCUCCAUUCACUAUUGCACGCCGGACAGAUUCACGACGAACCAUUUAGUAACAUUCUUCUAAUUCUAGAACAGGAUCCUUCCUCAAAAUUUCCCCACGAAUAUGUUCAAACUCACCAUCCAAACCAGCAAGAAAGAUGUGCACCCUUUGUCGUUGAAUAGACUUGCGGUAAGAACUGACAUCCUUCUCAUUUUCCAUGAUCACCUUAUCACGGUGAUCCAACUCACAAAAAAUUUCAACCAGUUCUCCAUAGUAGGAAGAGAGAGAUCUGUCAUUUUGUUUGGCAAAAUAAGCUUUUUGAUUCAAAGUGAAGACUUGUAGUUCAUCUGCUCCAUCAUAGAAGGCUGUUGACAGAGC
RNAcentral lists this long non-coding RNA (376 nucleotides) under Solanum tuberosum (potato). Its description in RNAcentral is "long non-coding RNA (STUB_LNC005686)". Lineage: Eukaryota; Viridiplantae; Streptophyta; Magnoliopsida; Solanales; Solanaceae. The record is from RNAcentral.